Molecule: long non-coding RNA, 817 nt
Organism: Eubalaena glacialis (North Atlantic right whale)
Lineage: Eukaryota; Metazoa; Chordata; Mammalia; Artiodactyla; Balaenidae
Exons: 6
Source: RefSeq, a predicted model, not a curated record
UCAGAUCUUGAGGGGCCUUGAAACCACGCAAGGGGGUUGGCCUUUAAUGCUGCUGGCCAUCAGGAGCCACCAAAAGGUUUUAAGCUGGGAAGAACGCGAUCAGAGUCGCGUUUACGUUGGGUCACUGCAUCCUGGUGUGGAUUUGCGGUGAUUUGAGACCGGCGGACGGUCUCAGUAGGGACGGUGGCCUGGGAUCAGGCAGCUGCAAUAGAAACGGAGUAAAAGGCCUGAGAAGCAAGGGCGAAAAAGAGAGAAGCAUCUUGGAAGACUUCUCACUGUGGAGAUUCCUGAAGAUGGUGUACUGAUGGUUCUGUUGGCCGAACGCCACUAGAAACUCUACUGACUCAGGGUGAAAAGCUCCACAGUAUUCCAGAGGUGACUGAUUGCCCCAUAAGGCUUUCUGACUGUUGGAAUGGUUUUAGAUGGUCAUCCCAGAGAAUGAAGGCAUGGAUGACUCACAUGAAGCACUGGUUAUUAAAGACAAGUACCAACUUACAUUUGAAGUCCAAAGCCAGCAUUUGCUCAUUCUGAGAUGGGACUGGUGACCAUCCAUAAGUGACAUGGCUAUUUGGGAGUACUUUUGGUUGGGACACUGAAGCCAGAGCUCCGGAGAGUGGCUGAAACAGAAUAUCCCCCUGCUAAACAGGCCAGUGAGAAGAAUUCCUCACAAUCAAAUUCUCAUCAACAAGUCUGACAGAAUUUGUGUCUCCUAAACCUACAUUUCCAAGGAGGUCAUAACAAUAUUUAUGGAAUAUGAGGCACAGAAUCUUAAGUUAAAAAAUAUUUUUCCAGGUCUUAUUUACAUUGAACUCAAAUU